UAGCUUGCUAGAUUGAUGGCGAGUGGCGAACGGGUGAGUAAUACAUCGGAACGUGCCCUGUAGUGGGGGAUAACUAGUCGAAAGAUUAGCUAAUACCGCAUACGACCUGAGGGUGAAAGUGGGGGACCGCAAGGCCUCAUGCUAUAGGAGCGGCCGAUGUCUGAUUAGCUAGUUGGUGGGGUAAAGGCCCACCAAGGCGACGAUCAGUAGCUGGUCUGAGAGGACGAUCAGCCACACUGGGACUGAGACACGGCCCAGACUCCUACGGGAGGCAGCAGUGGGGAAUUUUGGACAAUGGGCGAAAGCCUGAUCCAGCAAUGCCGCGUGUGUGAAGAAGGCCUUCGGGUUGUAAAGCACUUUUGUCCGGAAAGAAAUGGCUCUGGUUAAUACCUGGGGUCGAUGACGGUACCGGAAGAAUAAGGACCGGCUAACUACGUGCCAGCAGCCGCGGGUAAUACGUAGGGUCCAAGCGUUAAUCGGAAUUACUGGGCGUAAAGCGUGCGCAGGCGGUUGUGCAAGACCGAUGUGAAAUCCCCGAGCUUAACUUGGGAAUUGCAUUGGUGACUGCACGGCUAGAGUGUGUCAGAGGGGGGUAGAAUUCCACGUGUAGCAGUGAAAUGCGUAGAGAUGUGGAGGAAUACCGAUGGCGAAGGCAGCCCCCUGGGAUAACACUGACGCUCAUGCACGAAAGCGUGGGGAGCAAACAGGAUUAGAUACCCUGGUAGUCCACGCCCUAAACGAUGUCAACUAGUUGUUGGGGAUUCAUUUCCUUAGUAACGUAGCUAACGCGUGAAGUUGACCGCCUGGGGAGUACGGUCGCAAGAUUAAAACUCAAAGGAAUUGACGGGGACCCGCACAAGCGGUGGAUGAUGUGGAUUAAUUCGAUGCAACGCGAAAAACCUUACCUACCCUUGACAUGCCACUAACGAAGCAGAGAUGCAUUAGGUGCUCGAAAGAGAAAGUGGACACAGGUGCUGCAUGGCUGUCGUCAGCUCGUGUCGUGAGAUGUUGGGUUAAGUCCCGCAACGAGCGCAACCCUUGUCUCUAGUUGCUACGAAAGGGCACUCUAGAGAGACUGCCGGUGACAAACCGGAGGAAGGUGGGGAUGACGUCAAGUCCUCAUGGCCCUUAUGGGUAGGGCUUCACACGUCAUACAAUGGUGCAUACAGAGGGUUGCCAAGCCGCGAGGUGGAGCUAAUCCCAGAAAAUGCAUCGUAGUCCGGAUCGUAGUCUGCAACUCGACUACGUGAAGCUGGAAUCGCUAGUAAUCGCGGAUCAGCAUUCCGCGGUGAAUACGUUCCCGGGUCUUGUACACACCGCCCGUCGCACCAUGGGAGUGGGCUU
Molecule: ribosomal RNA, 1344 nt
Filed under: uncultured Ralstonia sp.
Lineage: Bacteria; Pseudomonadati; Pseudomonadota; Betaproteobacteria; Burkholderiales; Burkholderiaceae
Description: bacterial SSU rRNA
Rfam family: Bacterial small subunit ribosomal RNA
Source: RNAcentral